RNAcentral lists this long non-coding RNA (844 nucleotides) under Marmota monax (woodchuck). The record is from RNAcentral. Lineage: Eukaryota; Metazoa; Chordata; Mammalia; Rodentia; Sciuridae.
GAUGAUAAAGAGUAAAGGUGGGGCUGGGAUUAUGGCUCAGUGGCAUAUGUGAGGCACAUACCUCGCACAUGUGAGGCACUGGGUCUGAUCCUCAGCACCAAAUAAAAAUAAAUAUAAAAUAAAAAUAGAAGAGUAAAGGUUAUCGCUUGCUACCUUGGAACUUUUCUUCUUUCCUCUCUUCCUCAUUUAAUGAGGAACUGAAUAAUUGGUAAAUAUAUUCUUCUCCCUAGGUGGGGUCAAAAAAGAGGAAGGAAUGAUAAGCAGGAACAAAUCCAUGAAUGCUGAAUAUCAUCUGCAACUUAGUUUUCCUUAAGACUUUUGUGUCUGUAUCUUCCCCCGUGGAAUGUCCCCAGGUGUCCUGGAAGCUGAGUUUGGAGGGCCGGUAAACCAUUUCAGGGCCAUGCAAUAGCUGGAGAAGGAGUGCCACUAUCAGAGGAAGAUAAGCAGUGGAAUACAAGGGUGCCCAGUCAUUUGCAGAAGAUUACUCAGCUGUUACUCAGAGGUACCAGUGAUUCAUUGGUGUCUAAUACUUAAAAAAAUUCACUAUAAAACUAGUCAUGACAACAGAAAGACCUGAUCCCAAAAAAGGUCUCUUAACUCCAGCUUUAAUUGGUCCCUGAUGCUAACAAUGAUGGGCAAUCGCUCUUACAUGGUAACAACUUGACAUUUUCUUUUUCCAAACAUCCCUGGAUGGUUUUGAAAGGACUUCAGUACUCCAUGCAAAAUAAAAGCUUUCUUGGCAGCUAGACAGCAAUCUGAAUUUAUAAUCAAUAAACUGGAAAUAAAGAUGUACCGGGAAUCUGGUCAUAAGUACUAACACAGCUUGUUUUACUUCCAUAUUUGG